Molecule: transfer RNA, 64 nt
Filed under: Rhipicephalus turanicus
Lineage: Eukaryota; Metazoa; Arthropoda; Arachnida; Ixodida; Ixodidae
Description: tRNA-Glu
Source: RNAcentral
AAUUUAAAUGGUGUAAUAUAAACACUUAACUUUUUCAUUGUUAAAUUCCUUUUGGUUUAAAUUA